This 553-nucleotide long non-coding RNA is filed under the name Heterocephalus glaber (naked mole-rat). RNAcentral describes it as "lncRNA (ENSHGLG00000041956.1)". The record is from RNAcentral. Lineage: Eukaryota; Metazoa; Chordata; Mammalia; Rodentia; Bathyergidae.
CUCGGCGUCUCCCGGCUGGUCUGAGUCUGAGGCACUUGUGCAGAGCGGGAGGGCAGCUGCGCGCGUCGCCUCCCAGGCCCUCUGUCCGCCACGCCCCCGACGUGCCCGGCCGAAGUCAGGUUCUAAAUCCCUCGGGAGGAAUCCGAAACUCGGGUAGAGGCGCUCUCGACAUUUUCAUGGCCAUGCGGUUGGUGCGGCCGAAACUGGAGAGCUCAUAGGACUGUAGAUCUUAACAUCCCUAUGAGGGAGAGGACAAAGGAAACCACUCUGUCUAAGAAAAGCAGACACUAAGAUGCAGCACAGAAGAGAGAAUUUUGCCAUGCUUAUGAAUUUCUUAUGGAUUAACAUUAAAUUAAAUGAGUUAUUAAAUGUGAAACACUAGAGCCUGCUGCAGACAGGCAGGCCUGCACACACCCAACUGAGGUCACGAGUCACGCAGAACACGCCAAAUCAGCCCGCUGCAGACAGGCAGCCACCUGGUUCCACACUACAAAGACGCAGAGGACACCAGACCACCAGACCAAGGUACUGAGUCCCGCUGCUCCUGGCCCAG